This 2164-nucleotide ribosomal RNA is filed under the name Escherichia coli. RNAcentral describes it as "partial 23S ribosomal RNA". It matches the Rfam family "Bacterial large subunit ribosomal RNA", at positions 711 to 2853 of the family's 2925-position model. The record is from RNAcentral. Lineage: Bacteria; Pseudomonadati; Pseudomonadota; Gammaproteobacteria; Enterobacterales; Enterobacteriaceae.
AGACCCGAAACCCGGUGAUCUAGCCAUGGGCAGGUUGAAGGUUGGGUAACACUAACUGGAGGACCGAACCGACUAAUGUUGAAAAAUUAGCGGAUGACUUGUGGCUGGGGGUGAAAGGCCAAUCAAACCGGGAGAUAGCUGGUUCUCCCCGAAAGCUAUUUAGGUAGCGCCUCGUGAAUUCAUCUCCGGGGGUAGAGCACUGUUUCGGCAAGGGGGUCAUCCCGACUUACCAACCCGAUGCAAACUGCGAAUACCGGAGAAUGUUAUCACGGGAGACACACGGCGGGUGCUAACGUCCGUCGUGAAGAGGGAAACAACCCAGACCGCCAGCUAAGGUCCCAAAGUCAUGGUUAAGUGGGAAACGAUGUGGGAAGGCCCAGACAGCCAGGAUGUUGGCUUAGAAGCAGCCAUCAUUUAAAGAAAGCGUAAUAGCUCACUGGUCGAGUCGGCCUGCGCGGAAGAUGUAACGGGGCUAAACCAUGCACCGAAGCUGCGGCAGCGACACUGUGUGUUGUUGGGUAGGGGAGCGUUCUGUAAGCCUGUGAAGGUGUGCUGUGAGGCAUGCUGGAGGUAUCAGAAGUGCGAAUGCUGACAUAAGUAACGAUAAAGCGGGUGAAAAGCCCGCUCGCCGGAAGACCAAGGGUUCCUGUCCAACGUUAAUCGGGGCAGGGUGAGUCGACCCCUAAGGCGAGGCCGAAAGGCGUAGUCGAUGGGAAACAGGUUAAUAUUCCUGUACUUGGUGUUACUGCGAAGGGGGGACGGAGAAGGCUAUGUUGGCCGGGCGACGGUUGUCCCGGUUUAAGCGUGUAGGCUGGUUUUCCAGGCAAAUCCGGAAAAUCAAGGCUGAGGCGUGAUGACGAGGCACUACGGUGCUGAAGCAACAAAUGCCCUGCUUCCAGGAAAAGCCUCUAAGCAUCAGGUAACAUCAAAUCGUACCCCAAACCGACACAGGUGGUCAGGUAGAGAAUACCAAGGCGCUUGAGAGAACUCGGGUGAAGGAACUAGGCAAAAUGGUGCCGUAACUUCGGGAGAAGGCACGCUGAUAUGUAGGUGAAGUCCCUCGCGGAUGGAGCUGAAAUCAGUCGAAGAUACCAGCUGGCUGCAACUGUUUAUUAAAAACACAGCACUGUGCAAACACGAAAGUGGACGUAUACGGUGUGACGCCUGCCCGGUGCCGGAAGGUUAAUUGAUGGGGUCAGCGCAAGCGAAGCUCUUGAUCGAAGCCCCGGUAAACGGCGGCCGUAACUAUAACGGUCCUAAGGUAGCGAAAUUCCUUGUCGGGUAAGUUCCGACCUGCACGAAUGGCGUAAUGAUGGCCAGGCUGUCUCCACCCGAGACUCAGUGAAAUUGAACUCGCUGUGAAGAUGCAGUGUACCCGCGGCAAGACGGAAAGACCCCGUGAACCUUUACUAUAGCUUGACACUGAACAUUGAGCCUUGAUGUGUAGGAUAGGUGGGAGGCUUUGAAGUGUGGACGCCAGUCUGCAUGGAGCCGACCUUGAAAUACCACCCUUUAAUGUUUGAUGUUCUAACGUGGACCCGUGAUCCGGGUUGCGGACAGUGUCUGGUGGGUAGUUUGACUGGGGCGGUCUCCUCCUAAAGAGUAACGGAGGAGCACGAAGGUUGGCUAAUCCUGGUCGGACAUCAGGAGGUUAGUGCAAUGGCAUAAGCCAGCUUGACUGCGAGCGUGACGGCGCGAGCAGGUGCGAAAGCAGGUCAUAGUGAUCCGGUGGUUCUGAAUGGAAGGGCCAUCGCUCAACGGAUAAAAGGUACUCCGGGGAUAACAGGCUGAUACCGCCCAAGAGUUCAUAUCGACGGCGGUGUUUGGCACCUCGAUGUCGGCUCAUCACAUCCUGGGGCUGAAGUAGGUCCCAAGGGUAUGGCUGUUCGCCAUUUAAAGUGGUACGCGAGCUGGGUUUAGAACGUCGUGAGACAGUUCGGUCCCUAUCUGCCGUGGGCGCUGGAGAACUGAGGGGGGCUGCUCCUAGUACGAGAGGACCGGAGUGGACGCAUCACUGGUGUUCGGGUUGUCAUGCCAAUGGCACUGCCCGGUAGCUAAAUGCGGAAGAGAUAAGUGCUGAAAGCAUCUAAGCACGAAACUUGCCCCGAGAUGAGUUCUCCCUGACCCUUUAAGGGUCCUGAAGGAACGUUGAAGACGACGACGU